This 333-nucleotide long non-coding RNA is filed under the name Fukomys damarensis (Damara mole-rat). Its description in RNAcentral is "lncRNA (ENSFDAG00000026560.1)". The record is from RNAcentral. Lineage: Eukaryota; Metazoa; Chordata; Mammalia; Rodentia; Bathyergidae.
CCUAACGUCUUGAGAAUUUACAUCUACCUGUUUUUUCUGUUAUAGGAAUGUAUGUCACUGUCUACUGCCACAUUUCCAUUGGGAAGAUGCAGAAAUCUGAAGGGGCUGUGGUGGAAGAGGAAGAGAAACAAAGCAGAUGACAGCUGUCUGUGGGGUGAGGGAGACCAAAGGAGAGGGGCCCGCCAGCUCUGGGCUGUCCUUGUGAGGUCGAAGUCAAUAAUCCAGAGCUAAGAAACGGAGGAAGAGAUUCAGUUGCAAUGCAAAGCAUUAUAGCAGGAUCUUAGAUGCAACUAUAGAGAAACACUCAUUUAUCCAAUGAAUACUUUCCAGCAC